This 734-nucleotide long non-coding RNA is filed under the name Equus caballus (horse). RNAcentral describes it as "lncRNA (ENSECAG00000056580.1)". The record is from RNAcentral. Lineage: Eukaryota; Metazoa; Chordata; Mammalia; Perissodactyla; Equidae.
GAAACAUUCCACUGAGGUGAUUUCUAAAGUCUAAGUAAAGGGAACUAUAAUGAAACCAGAGAUCAAAUUUUGAAAGGCAAAUGGCAAAGAAAGAAGAAAGAUCAUUGCCAUUAGACAGAAAGAAAAGUUGUGUCAACAAGGGCCCAGAGGACAGUGGAAUCAAAACAGCCCUGGAAAAGGAGUCUGAGGAUCCUUCAGUCACUAACAAGUGUGCAUCUUGAACAACUCACUUGAUCUUUCUUCGACUUCAUUUCCUCACAUGCAAAAUGAAGAGGCUUGUCUACAUCUAGUUUUGAAUUUUCUAUGGUGACUACAAGAUUCCCACUUCUGCAUGUUCAGUGUUCUUAAAUACCACCAUUCUCGUCUUUCCUCUGUAGUUGUUCAUCAUUGACAAAAGGAGAUUUGGGGUUUAAUUAGCUACAUCUGCCUAAGGUACCCUUUUUUCAGAAAUUUCCAUCUAUAAGCAUACGAGUAAUACUCAAUGAAAAAAUAAUUUUUCUGGGGGCUGGCCCCGUGGCCGAGUGGUUAAGUUCGCGCGCUCCGCUGCAGGCGGCCCAGUGUUUCGUUGGUUCGAAUCCUGGGCGCGGACAUGGCACUGCUCAUCAAACCACGCUGAGGCAGCGUCCCACAUGCCACAACUAGAAGGACCCACAACGAAGAAUAUACAACUAUGUACUGGGGGGCUUUGGGGAGAAAAAGGAAAAAAUAAAAUCUUUAAAAAAAAAAUUAUUUUU